Molecule: ribosomal RNA, 1500 nt
Filed under: Bacillus altitudinis
Lineage: Bacteria; Bacillati; Bacillota; Bacilli; Caryophanales; Bacillaceae
Description: bacterial SSU rRNA
Rfam family: Bacterial small subunit ribosomal RNA
Source: RNAcentral
GUUUGAUCAUGGCUCAGGACGAACGCUGGCGGCGUGCCUAAUACAUGCAAGUCGAGCGGACAGAAGGGAGCUUGCUCCCGGAUGUUAGCGGCGGACGGGUGAGUAACACGUGGGUAACCUGCCUGUAAGACUGGGAUAACUCCGGGAAACCGGAGCUAAUACCGGAUAGUUCCUUGAACCGCAUGGUUCAAGGAUGAAAGACGGUUUCGGCUGUCACUUACAGAUGGACCCGCGGCGCAUUAGCUAGUUGGUGAGGUAACGGCUCACCAAGGCGACGAUGCGUAGCCGACCUGAGAGGGUGAUCGGCCACACUGGGACUGAGACACGGCCCAGACUCCUACGGGAGGCAGCAGUAGGGAAUCUUCCGCAAUGGACGAAAGUCUGACGGAGCAACGCCGCGUGAGUGAUGAAGGUUUUCGGAUCGUAAAGCUCUGUUGUUAGGGAAGAACAAGUGCAAGAGUAACUGCUUGCACCUUGACGGUACCUAACCAGAAAGCCACGGCUAACUACGUGCCAGCAGCCGCGGUAAUACGUAGGUGGCAAGCGUUGUCCGGAAUUAUUGGGCGUAAAGGGCUCGCAGGCGGUUUCUUAAGUCUGAUGUGAAAGCCCCCGGCUCAACCGGGGAGGGUCAUUGGAAACUGGGAAACUUGAGUGCAGAAGAGGAGAGUGGAAUUCCACGUGUAGCGGUGAAAUGCGUAGAGAUGUGGAGGAACACCAGUGGCGAAGGCGACUCUCUGGUCUGUAACUGACGCUGAGGAGCGAAAGCGUGGGGAGCGAACAGGAUUAGAUACCCUGGUAGUCCACGCCGUAAACGAUGAGUGCUAAGUGUUAGGGGGUUUCCGCCCCUUAGUGCUGCAGCUAACGCAUUAAGCACUCCGCCUGGGGAGUACGGUCGCAAGACUGAAACUCAAAGGAAUUGACGGGGGCCCGCACAAGCGGUGGAGCAUGUGGUUUAAUUCGAAGCAACGCGAAGAACCUUACCAGGUCUUGACAUCCUCUGACAACCCUAGAGAUAGGGCUUUCCCUUCGGGGACAGAGUGACAGGUGGUGCAUGGUUGUCGUCAGCUCGUGUCGUGAGAUGUUGGGUUAAGUCCCGCAACGAGCGCAACCCUUGAUCUUAGUUGCCAGCAUUUAGUUGGGCACUCUAAGGUGACUGCCGGUGACAAACCGGAGGAAGGUGGGGAUGACGUCAAAUCAUCAUGCCCCUUAUGACCUGGGCUACACACGUGCUACAAUGGACAGAACAAAGGGCUGCGAGACCGCAAGGUUUAGCCAAUCCCACAAAUCUGUUCUCAGUUCGGAUCGCAGUCUGCAACUCGACUGCGUGAAGCUGGAAUCGCUAGUAAUCGCGGAUCAGCAUGCCGCGGUGGAAUACGUUUCCCGGGCCUUGUACACACCGCCCGUCACACCACGAGAGUUUGCAACACCCGAAGUCGGUGAGGUAACCUUUAUGGAGCCAGCCGCCGAAGGUGGGGCAGAUGAUUGGGGUGAAGUCUACAG